This 390-nucleotide ribosomal RNA is filed under the name Epinephelus amblycephalus. Its description in RNAcentral is "partial 12S ribosomal RNA". It matches the Rfam family "Bacterial small subunit ribosomal RNA", at positions 770 to 1361 of the family's 1533-position model. Lineage: Eukaryota; Metazoa; Chordata; Actinopteri; Perciformes; Serranidae. The record is from RNAcentral.
AACUGGGAUUAGAUACCCCACUAUGCUUUGCCCUAAACAUUGAUAGCUUUACACAAUUACUAUCCGCCUGGAAACUACGAGCAAUAGCUUAAAACCCAAAGGACUUGGCGGUGCUUUAGACCCACCUAGAGGAGCCUGUUCUAUAACCGAUAACCCCCGUUUAACCUCACCUUUCCUAGUCAUUUCCGCCUAUAUACCGCCGUCGCCAGCUUACCCUAUGAAGGUCCCCAGUAAGCACAAUUGGUACAACCCAGAACGUCAGGUCGAGGUGUAGCGUAUGGAAAGGGAAGAAAUGGGCUACAUUCCCUAUUACAGCGAAUCACGGAUAUAUUACUUGAAACGUGUAUCUAGAAGGAGGAUUUAGCAGUAAGCGGAAAGCAGAGCGUUCCG